AAUGAACGCUGGCGGCAGGCCUAACACAUGCAAGUCGAACGGAUCCUUCGGGAUUAGUGGCGGACGGGUGAGUAACGCGUGGGAACAUACCCUUUGGUACGGAAUAGCCUCGGGAAACUGGGAGUAAUACCGUAUGUGGUCGAGAGACGAAAGAUUUAUCGCAAAAGGAUUGGCCCGCGUUGGAUUAGGUAGUUGGUGGGGUAAUGGCCUACCAAGCCGACGAUCCAUAGCUGGUUUGAGAGGAUGAUCAGCCACACUGGGACUGAGACACGGCCCAGACUCCUACGGGAGGCAGCAGUGGGGAAUCUUAGACAAUGGGUGAAACCCUGAUCUAGCCAUGCCGCGUGAUCGAUGAAGGCCUUAGUGUUGUAGAGAUCUUUCAGGUGGGAAGAUAAUGACUGUACCACCAGAAGAAGCCCCGGCUAACUCCGUGCCAGCCGCCGCCGUAA
This 449-nucleotide ribosomal RNA is filed under the name uncultured bacterium. RNAcentral describes it as "partial 16S ribosomal RNA". It matches the Rfam family "Bacterial small subunit ribosomal RNA", at positions 29 to 523 of the family's 1533-position model. The record is from RNAcentral.